Molecule: ribosomal RNA, 587 nt
Filed under: Penicillium chrysogenum
Lineage: Eukaryota; Fungi; Ascomycota; Eurotiomycetes; Eurotiales; Aspergillaceae
Description: eukaryotic LSU rRNA
Rfam family: 5.8S ribosomal RNA (bases 208-360)
Source: RNAcentral
UUCCGUAGGUGAACCUGCGGAAGGAUCAUUACCGAGUGAGGGCCCUCUGGGUCCAACCUCCCACCCGUGUUUAUUUUACCUUGUUGCUUCGGCGGGCCCGCCUUAACUGGCCGCCGGGGGGCUUACGCCCCCGGGCCCGCGCCCGCCGAAGACACCCUCGAACUCUGUCUGAAGAUUGUAGUCUGAGUGAAAAUAUAAAUUAUUUAAAACUUUCAACAACGGAUCUCUUGGUUCCGGCAUCGAUGAAGAACGCAGCGAAAUGCGAUACGUAAUGUGAAUUGCAAAUUCAGUGAAUCAUCGAGUCUUUGAACGCACAUUGCGCCCCCUGGUAUUCCGGGGGGCAUGCCUGUCCGAGCGUCAUUGCUGCCCUCAAGCACGGCUUGUGUGUUGGGCCCCGUCCUCCGAUCCCGGGGGACGGGCCCGAAAGGCAGCGGCGGCACCGCGUCCGGUCCUCGAGCGUAUGGGGCUUUGUCACCCGCUCUGUAGGCCCGGCCGGCGCUUGCCGAUCAACCCAAAUUUUUAUCCAGGUUGACCUCGGAUCAGGUAGGGAUACCCGCUGAACUUAAGCAUAUCAAUAAGCGGAGGAA